GCCUCGGUGGUGGAAUUGGUAUACACGCACGACUCAAAAUCGUGUGGAGAAAUCCAUGAGAGUUCGAGUCUCUCCCGAGGCACAA
Molecule: transfer RNA, 85 nt
Filed under: Candidatus Moraniibacteriota bacterium
Lineage: Bacteria; Candidatus Moraniibacteriota
Description: tRNA-Leu
Rfam family: tRNA
About the family: Transfer RNA (tRNA) molecules are approximately 80 nucleotides in length. Their secondary structure includes four short double-helical elements and three loops (D, anti-codon, and T loops). Further hydrogen bonds mediate the characteristic L-shaped molecular structure. tRNAs have two regions of fundamental functional importance: the anti-codon, which is responsible for specific mRNA codon recognition, and the 3' end, to which the tRNAs corresponding amino acid is attached (by aminoacyl-tRNA synthetases). tRNAs cope with the degeneracy of the genetic code in two manners: having more than one tRNA (with a specific anti-codon) for a particular amino acid; and 'wobble' base-pairing, i.e. permitting non-standard base-pairing at the 3rd anti-codon position.
Source: RNAcentral